This 493-nucleotide long non-coding RNA is filed under the name Phoenix dactylifera (date palm). RNAcentral describes it as "long non-coding RNA (PDAC_LNC022094)". Lineage: Eukaryota; Viridiplantae; Streptophyta; Magnoliopsida; Arecales; Arecaceae. The record is from RNAcentral.
GUCCAUCGCAAAGCACCCAGCAAUCUCGGUUCGACUUCCAUCGCGAAAACAGGGAGCAAAUUAAACGGCCGGUUUGAUCUUCAUUGAUUCCCAGCGUCUCUUGAGCUUUGGGAAAAUUCUAUAAAAGGGGGAGCCAUCCGGUGGAAGAGAGGAGGAGGCGAGGGGAGGUCACAAAACGGAAGGGAGAAAGCAGCCGACGAGGAAGGAGAGAACCACACGGUGGAGGAAAAGGAGGAGGCGAGGGGAAGCCACGGAACCAGGGAAGCCAACAUCCAUUUCUUUCCCAGCCGAGCGAGAGAGGAGAAGAGGCCACGGAAGGGAGAAAGCCCACGGGAGAAGAAGAAAGGAAACAGAGUACUCUGUUUCCUUAUCAAAGAAAGAAAAAAGAAAAGGGGUUUAUGUUUGUUUUAUUUAUUCUAUGCUAAUCCCUUUUAUAAAAUGUUCCCAUUUCAUAUGAGUAGCUAAAUCUUCUCUAGCUAAGGCUAGGGAAAAG